GACGAACGCUGGCGGCGUGCUUAACACAUGCAAGUCGAACGGUGAACGAGGGAGCUUGCUCCCUCCGGAUCAGUGGCGAACGGGUGAGUAACACGUGAGCAAUCUGCCCCGAACUCUGGGAUAAGCGUUGGAAACGACGUCUAAUACCGGAUACGACGCGGGAGGGCAUCCUCUCCGCGUGGAAAGAACUUCGGUUCGGGAUGAGCUCGCGGCCUAUCAGCUUGUUGGUAAGGUAACGGCUCACCAAGGCGACGACGGGUAGCCGGCCUGAGAGGGUGACCGGCCACACUGGGACUGAGACACGGCCCAGACUCCUACGGGAGGCAGCAGUGGGGAAUAUUGCACAAUGGGCGCAAGCCUGAUGCAGCAACGCCGCGUGAGGGACGGCGGCCUUCGGGUUGUAAACCUCUUUUAGCAGGGAAGAAGCGAAAGUGACGGUACCUGCAGAAAAAGCACCGGCUAACUACGUG
RNAcentral lists this ribosomal RNA (470 nucleotides) under uncultured bacterium. Its description in RNAcentral is "partial 16S ribosomal RNA". It matches the Rfam family "Bacterial small subunit ribosomal RNA", at positions 28 to 507 of the family's 1533-position model. The record is from RNAcentral.